UAUUAGUACUAUACAUUUAGAGAAGAUUAAAAAAAGAAUAAGAAGAAGAUACGAUGGAUCUGUAGUGCCAGGGAGGGGAAUUGCAAUUUUAAAUAGGAUGGUCAGUGCAGGCCUCCUUCAGAAAGUGAGCAAUGUGAAGGAGUUAGCUAUAUGGAUCUCUUAGGGCAUUCACCAGGCAGAUAAAAAAACUAGUACAGAGGUCAUAAGAAGGGAAUGUGCCUGGAUAUUCACAGAACAGUAAAAAGGCCAGUGUGGCUGAGGCAGCGUGAGUUGGGGUAGAAGAAUAGGAUAAUGAGGUCAUAGAGGUACCAGUAGAACCAGCUCUUGUCAGGCUCUCCCUGGAGUACUGUGGGUUACCACUGGAGGGGUUUGAGCAGAGCCAUGGCAUAUACUGAUCUACGUGUAUGUGUUUCUAAGCAAAACUUCUUGGAAGAAAAGGAAAUUCUUAGAAGCAAUUAGAGUAUCACACCCAUGCUAUACCCUUUGAUUCAUUAGCUUGCUCUGUUUUUCUGUUAUUUUGAAAUUACCCAAGUGGAAGCAGAAAAACUGCCAGGAAAAUGUCACAGCCACCCCUUACUGAACAGCAGAAACACCAGCAAAACACCAACUGCAACAUGGUGUAUUUUGAAGGUGAGAUUAAAUUUACCUACACCUAGAGAAAUAAUUGGAGCACAUGUCUAUUUGGGCCAAGAGGAUAAAGGCCAGUAGAGGAAUCAGAUCAAAGAACUUCCUCAGGGAAGUGUGCAGAGAACUGGAGUGGACCUUCCCCUAGGAAGCUGCCCAAAACGAGAGUGCUGGAAAGCUGGCCGCAGUGAGGCACUUCAGAUCCCAAGGGUAUGCUGGGGAAGCUGCCACAGGUGGGAGCACUUGCUGCUGGACCCUAGGCACUGUUGAAACAACUGCACCAUCUGCAGGAGCCCAGCAAGCCAAAGCCAGGCAUCCCAUCUGGAGAGAGAGAAGACUGAAGCAGAAACACAAUGGGAAGGAAGCAAAGAUGGAGAGAUGAGUUUUUGGAUUCAACUGAAGCCCUUGCUAUCUGCUAGAGUCAGAGUCAUCACAAUUGGGGGGUCUUCAUUAAGCUACACUUUUUAAUGGAACAUCCUAGUGAGGUUUGAGAGUACAGCUUUAUGGUCUAUAUUACAUUACUAAGCCGAUUUUAUUGGAAAGAACUUGUUUGCAUCCCUGCUAGACAAAAACCUACAAGUUAACCUUUGCCCGUAUGGAGUUGUAAAACAGACCAGUUGAUAGAAAGAGAAGCCUGCUUCCCGAAGCCCUCAGCAGAAGCCGAGCAGAUGUUGGCACCAUGCUUCUUGUACAGCCUGCAGAACUUGAAGAAACACUCCAUAUUAGUUUUCUGGAGCCAUCGUUAUGAAGCAACACAGACUGGGUGGCAUAAACAAUGGAGAUUUAUUUUUUCACAAUUCCGGAGGCUAGAAGUUUGAGAUCAAGGUGUUGGAAAGUGUCUCAGGAUGAUACAUACCGGUUUUUAACUUUGGUGUCAUCAAAUGCAAUUGCAAUGUGACUGUUUCUUGAAAGCCCGAAC
RNAcentral lists this long non-coding RNA (1543 nucleotides) under Homo sapiens (human). RNAcentral's name for it is "HSALNT0336860". The record is from RNAcentral. Lineage: Eukaryota; Metazoa; Chordata; Mammalia; Primates; Hominidae.